Molecule: transfer RNA, 76 nt
Filed under: Niallia taxi
Lineage: Bacteria; Bacillati; Bacillota; Bacilli; Caryophanales; Bacillaceae
Also listed under: 1 other name
Description: Bacillus sp. M5HDSG1-1 tRNA-Thr
Rfam family: tRNA
About the family: Transfer RNA (tRNA) molecules are approximately 80 nucleotides in length. Their secondary structure includes four short double-helical elements and three loops (D, anti-codon, and T loops).
Source: RNAcentral
GCCGAGGUAGCUCAAUUGGUAGAGCAACUGACUUGUAAUCAGUAGGUUGGGGGUUCAAGUCCUCUCGUCGGCACCA